Molecule: long non-coding RNA, 1275 nt
Organism: Scylla paramamosain (green mud crab)
Lineage: Eukaryota; Metazoa; Arthropoda; Malacostraca; Decapoda; Portunidae
Exons: 3
Source: RefSeq, a predicted model, not a curated record
GACAUUCUAACUUUUCUCGCGUUGAGUGAUAUUGGAAACAAAAUUUCAUGUCGUGUAACUUUAGUUUGUUUGAUAAACGUUUGUGUCCAGGGAGAGUGAAGGAGAGGGAAUGAUGCUGGUAAUGAUAGUGGAGGAGACGACACUCAUAACCUGGGGAAGAUGACAGAGAUCAUGAGCGGCGGCGUGGCUCGUUGUGGUGACAUAAAUUGGUUGCUGGUUGAUAGUGUGGUGGCGAUGAUGGUGGUGGUAUCAGUAGAGGCACCAAUACUGGCUGCAGGAAUCGCCGAAGAAUGUGAGAAAUGUGUACGAAAAUAAGCGAAACACGUGAUGGCAGCACAGUGUAGGAUUUCAGGUGGUGGUAGCAGUGACGUCGUAAGAGGCACUGCAGCAACUCGGUGAGGGACAAGGAACCUUCUUUUUCAUUUUUAUUUUUAGAAGCAAUGUAGCUAUCAGUUGAGGUGUUCGUGCAGCAAUGGCAGCAGGGGCGCCGAGCCACUUCACGCCUGCUGGAAAGGAAUAAGAACAAAAGUGCAAUUUCAGGAAAGACAGUUUUGCCUCAGUUAUGUCACUUGUUACUCCACCACAUCCACUCCUGACCCUCCGCUACUCUUCCGUCCAUCUCGCCGGGGCAGUCCAGCGGGGCACGACCUCUAUGGCUCAUCCACUACAGGAAGGAAGCUGCUGUAGCUGUCCAGCCAGGGGACAGGAAGGCUGCGGGAGGUGAAGACAAGCAGUUCGUGCUUCAGCUAACGGAUGAAAAUAGGAAGAGAUGCAAGAAUGUACCGAGAUGUGAAAGAGAAACCAUCGGUUAAAGCUCCGGAAACACCCCAUGAGGUUUCUUUUUCGUGGAAGAAGUCAUCUCGGAGACACACUCUACCUUGAAGGAUCAGUUCGCCGUGAGCUGCUCUCCUCUUCGUCUUGAUUUUCUAAUAACUUCCUGAUUGGGCUCAGCAAUUCUACUAAAUUCAUCCACUACCACCCUGGUGAAUAACGAAUGGGAAGACCACCACUUCAUCCCUCCUCCCUGUGUGGAUGCCAGGGGACCAGCAUCAUUCCGCCAAAGAGUGAGUGAGCAUCAUGUUUUCUGAUGACCUGAUGAAUUUAGUACCAGAGAGACGUCUUACAUACGAUUCUUGUGAUCUGUGCACCGAAAGUGGGAUGCAGUCAACUCGACAAACAUUUUAAAUUCUUUUGUAUUCAUUUCAAACAAAUUAAAAAAAUCACUGGAUUACAAUUAUUUACCAAAUUUGGGAAUAAAUAUCCAAAGCUCCCACA